Molecule: transfer RNA, 84 nt
Filed under: Felis catus (domestic cat)
Lineage: Eukaryota; Metazoa; Chordata; Mammalia; Carnivora; Felidae
Rfam family: tRNA
About the family: Transfer RNA (tRNA) molecules are approximately 80 nucleotides in length. Their secondary structure includes four short double-helical elements and three loops (D, anti-codon, and T loops). Further hydrogen bonds mediate the characteristic L-shaped molecular structure. tRNAs have two regions of fundamental functional importance: the anti-codon, which is responsible for specific mRNA codon recognition, and the 3' end, to which the tRNAs corresponding amino acid is attached (by aminoacyl-tRNA synthetases). tRNAs cope with the degeneracy of the genetic code in two manners: having more than one tRNA (with a specific anti-codon) for a particular amino acid; and 'wobble' base-pairing, i.e. permitting non-standard base-pairing at the 3rd anti-codon position.
Source: Rfam by way of RNAcentral
GCCUGGAUGGCUCAGUUGGUUAAGCGUCAGACUUUGGCUCAGGUCAUGAUCUCAUGAUCGUGGGUUCAAGCCCUAUGUCAGGCU